This 417-nucleotide ribosomal RNA is filed under the name uncultured bacterium. Its description in RNAcentral is "bacterial SSU rRNA". It matches the Rfam family "Bacterial small subunit ribosomal RNA", at positions 769 to 1185 of the family's 1533-position model. The record is from RNAcentral.
UUAACCGGAUUAGAUACCCUGGUAGUCCACGCCGUAAACGAUGUCGACUUGGAGGUUGUGCCCUUGAGGCGUGGCUUCCGGAGCUAACGCGUUAAGUCGACCGCCUGGGGAGUACGGCCGCAAGGUUAAAACUCAAAUGAAUUGACGGGGGCCCGCACAAGCGGUGGAGCAUGUGGUUUAAUUCGAUGCAACGCGAAGAACCUUACCUGGUCUUGACGUCCACGGAAGUUUUCAGAGAUGAGAAUGUGCCUUCGGGAACCGUGAGACAGGUGCUGCAUGGCUGUCGUCAGCUCGUGUUGUGAAAUGUUGGGUUAAGUCCCGCAACGAGCGCAACCCUUAUCCUUUGUUGCCAGCGGUCCGGCCGGGAACUCUAGGGGGACUGCCGGUGAUAAGCCGCGAGGAAGGUGGGGAUGACGU